CUCAAGACAUUCUGAAUUUAACUUAAUGAGAUUAGUCUUUUGCUUGAAUUCACUAAUCCGCAGUGACUACAAUAUAAAAUCUUGCAAUUCUGUUACAACAUACCACCUACUUGCUCUUUCUUGGCCUCACAAAUUGUUUCUCUGAGGGGCUGCUACGAAAGAAGAAUAUACUUUUAUACCAGGAACUACCAUUUAAGUUAUCUCCUUCCAUCCAUAAUGCUGUUUUACAGACUGAAAUAAGAAGAGCUGGUACUGUUAAAGGAGCUCUCUCAAUCCUUUUUACUGGUGUUUUCCUGGAAAAAAAAAGUCACAGUGUUUGUUUGUUUUACAGUAUAUUUUGUUUUAGUUUUACUUGUGUUCAGCAAAGAUUAUUGACACUGAAAAGUGAAAGCCUGAGAAGAAAUGGAGGAGCCCAGAAAAAAUACUGGAAAGAAAGAGAAAGAAGGAUUGAAAGAAAGUCAAGAGAGAAGUACGCUAAGAAGCUGAGGAACUAACCAAGUUGUUCUUCAGAACCCUCUGUUGCCUAUGUGAAAAAAGACAGAAAAGUAAAGAUGGCACAAUUUAUCACAUACCAAGGGAGAGUGUAUGGCAAACAGAGAAUUCAAGCUUCAGUUCCCAAAGAAGAGGGGCACCAAGAGAAUGGCCUGGUGGGAGCGCGUCUGUUAGCUGCGCCCAACUCACUGCAGCAUCAGAAACCGUUCACAGACACUCAGCCACUUCACUGGAAAGAAGUAGAUUGAACACAAGUAGCUUUGAGCUUUGCUCUUGUGAUUGAAGCCAGCUCACGUUUAGGUACCGCUGGACAAAACGGAACCGCGCGUCUCGAUAUCUGUCUCCCCUAGAGUAAGAAAUAGGUAGCAGUCCCUUAAUUCUUCUAACUUAGUUUAGAAUCAGUUAAUUAAUCAGUAGCUGUGACUAAUUACUCACUUCCAAUUAACCUGGAAACUGUUACAAAAUGAAG
Long non-coding RNA from Gallus gallus (chicken), 961 nucleotides. NCBI's taxonomy places the organism in Eukaryota, Metazoa, Chordata, Aves, Galliformes, Phasianidae. The record is from Ensembl.